This 63-nucleotide transfer RNA is filed under the name Loxodonta africana (African savanna elephant). It matches the Rfam family "tRNA". From Rfam's summary of the family: Transfer RNA (tRNA) molecules are approximately 80 nucleotides in length. Their secondary structure includes four short double-helical elements and three loops (D, anti-codon, and T loops). Lineage: Eukaryota; Metazoa; Chordata; Mammalia; Proboscidea; Elephantidae. The record is from Rfam by way of RNAcentral.
GGAAUGGUUCAGUGGUAGAAUUCUCACCUUCUAUGUGGGAGACCCAGGUUCAAUUCCUGGCCA